This 1047-nucleotide long non-coding RNA is filed under the name Ornithorhynchus anatinus (platypus). Its description in RNAcentral is "lncRNA (ENSOANG00000045403.1)". Lineage: Eukaryota; Metazoa; Chordata; Mammalia; Monotremata; Ornithorhynchidae. The record is from RNAcentral.
GAGUGAAACCCUUUCCAGGAUCUGCCAGCUUCUUCGUCAGGGAGAGCGGAGAGUUGUGCUGGCACCGGGCCUGGAUUCUUGAACCACUGUAGCACCAGACUCGAGCGGAGGCCAGGGGGAGAGGGAGCAAGAGCUGGUCGUCUCAGAGAUCAUGGAGCCCCGCCACCACAAACACCAUCUUCUGCUUUUCUUUAUGGCAUUUGUUAAGCUCUUACUAUGUGCCAGGCACUGUACGAAGUGCUAGGGGAAAUAGAGAAGCAGCGUGGCUCAGUGGAAAGAGCCCGGGCUUUGGAGUCAGAGGUGAUGAGUUCAAAUCCCGGCUCUGCCACUUGCCAGCUGUGAGACUGUGGGCAAGUCGCUUCACUUCUCUGUGCCUCAGUUACCUCAUCUAUAAAAUGGGGAUGAAGUCUGUGAGCCCCACGUGGGACAACCUGAUUCCCCUGUGUCUACCCCAGCGCUUAGAACAGUGCUCUGCACAUAGUAAGCGCUUAACAAAUACCAUCAUUAUUAUUAUUAUUAGAGAAGCAGUCCCUGUCCCAAAUGAGGCUGACACCUUGUUCACCGGCUGUUGCUGUCUGCUGGCUGAAGUGCUCUAGCCAACAGGGGCCAGAGUUAGUCUUUGGAGAGGAGGACGGGGAAGAGAAAAGUCUUCUUGGAAGGUUGUUUUUUUUUUACCCAAUUCAAAUUAAUUCAGUCAAUCAAUCCAUCUUCUACUAAAGUCCAGCUCGCACAUUUUGUUCCUUUCAUGCAUUCAUUCAAUCGUAUUUAUUCAGCGCUUAAGGUGUGUAGAGCACUGUAAUAAGCGCUCGGGAAAGUACGGUUUAAUAAUAAAUGGACACAUUUAUUCCCUGCCCUCAGCGAGCUAGUGCUAGUUGCCACUGACCCCUUUUCCACAUCCUCCCUCUGGCCUGAAACUCCUCCCUCCUCCUUAUAUGCCCCACAUCACUCUUCCCCCCAACCAAAAGCCUAGUUAAAAUCACAUUUCCUCCAAGAGGUCUUCCCUGAUUAAGCCCUCUUUUUUUCCCCAAAUCCCUCUCCCUUCUGCAU